CCAGUAUCUGGAGUUCGUAUCCUGCAGGACAAGUUCCCGACAAGCUUCUUGAAUUCUGUAUGGAAUUUAUGCAAUUGGCAGUCAAAAGUAGGAUUUAGGCCACUAGUGAUGAACCACUUCCCAACGAAAUCUACAACAUUAAAGUUCUUGACAAGAAUGGCAGGAUCAGGGACGGAAUUCCAACAUCAGACUUCUAAGGUACACACUUCUUUCAUGAGAUGAACACUCAUUGAAUUCAUCAACUACUCAAAAGCUUGAUCUGCAAAAUAUCUAAAGAGGGUUACCCGUUGAAUAACAUUAUCUAUCUCACCAGGUAUAAGGUAGAACAAGAUUAUUGGACAAUCAAACACUCAAAAGCUUAAGCUGAUAGAGAGGGGUUUGUUUGUUCUAAAAGAGAUGUUACACUGUUUCCUUUAAAAGCUUAUUCUGUUAGUGAUCAUUCUGCUUAUACAUAUUCUUUCUGCAG
Molecule: long non-coding RNA, 466 nt
Filed under: Populus tremula
Lineage: Eukaryota; Viridiplantae; Streptophyta; Magnoliopsida; Malpighiales; Salicaceae
Description: long non-coding RNA (PTRE_LNC001669)
Source: RNAcentral